This 115-nucleotide non-coding RNA is filed under the name Aquicella lusitana. Lineage: Bacteria; Pseudomonadati; Pseudomonadota; Gammaproteobacteria; Legionellales; Coxiellaceae. The record is from RNAcentral.
GGAGGAAGGCCCUCCGAAGCCGACUUGCAGGAGUAGGCUUUAAACAACCCUAAGCGGCAUGGAUCAAAAGUCCUUGUCGUGAGCGUUAGGGAAAAGGCUGCAUUUAGCAGUCAUG